This 394-nucleotide ribosomal RNA is filed under the name uncultured bacterium. RNAcentral describes it as "partial 16S ribosomal RNA". It matches the Rfam family "Bacterial small subunit ribosomal RNA", at positions 523 to 918 of the family's 1533-position model. The record is from RNAcentral.
AUACGUAGGGAGCGAGCGUUGUCCGGAAUUACUGGGCGUAAAGGGCGCGUAGGCGGCGCUUCAAGUCGUCUGUCAAAUGGGAGGGCUUAACCCUUUUUCGCAGACGAAACUGGAGAGCUUGAGAAGCAGAGAGGCAAACAGAAUUCCUGGUGUAGCGGUGAAAUGCAGAGAUAUCAGGAAGAAUACCAGUGGCGAAGGCGGUUUGCUGGCUGCAUACUGACGCUGAAGCGCGAAAGCCAGGGGAGCAAACGGGAUUAGAUACCCCGGUAGUCCUGGCAGUAAACGAUGUAUGCUGGGUGUGAGACUAGCGAUAGUUUCGUGCCGAAGUUAACGCGAUAAGCAUACCGCCUGGGGAGUACGGUCGCAAGAUUGAAACUCAAAUGAAUUGACGGGG